GGUUUGAUUGGUGGCUCAGAUUGAACGCUAAGGGAUGUCGGCACAUGCAAGUCGAACGGCAGCACGGACUUCGGUCUGGUGGCGAGUGGCGAACGGGUGGAGUAAUGUACCGGAACGUGCCUAGUAGCGGGGAUAACCAUGCGAAAGCGUAGCUAAUACUCUAGUACACCUUCGGGGGUGCAAUCCUCUGGGCCUCGCACUAUUAGAGCGGCCGAUACGAUUAGUUAGUUGGUGGGGUAACGGUCACCAAGGUGACGAUCCGUAGCUGGUUUGAGAGGACGACCAGCCACACUGGGACUGAGACAUGGCCCAGACUCCACAGGAGGCAGUGGGGAAUUUUGGACAAUUGGGAAACUCGAUCCAGCCAUCCUGCAGGCGAUGAAGGCCUCAAGUUGUAAAGCACUUUUGGCAGGAAGAAAUCUGCACGGGAUAAUACCCCGUGCAACUGACGGUACCUGCAGAAUAAGCACUGUUAACUACGUGCCAGCAGCCGCGGUAUGUCGUAGGAUGCAAGCGUUAAUCGGAAUUACUGGCGUAAAGCGUGCGCAGGCGGUCUGGAAAGAAAGAUGUGAAACUCUAGGAGCUUAACCCUUUGGAACUGCAUUUUUAACUACCGAGCUAGAGUGUGCUUGAGGGAGGUGGAACGGUGUAGCAGUGAAAUGCGUAGAUGAGGUGGAGAACACCGAUGGCGAAGGCAGCCUCCUUGGGAUAACACUACGCCAUGCACGAAAGGUGGGGAGAAACAGGAUUAGAUACCCUGUAGUCCACGCCCUAAAACGAUGUCAACUUAGCUGGCAAUUUCGGCCCGCAGAUGCAGCUAACGGUGAAGUUGACCGCCUGGGGAGUACGGUCGCAAGAUUAAAACUCAAAGGAAUUUGGAUGGGGACCCGCACAAGCGGUGGAUGAUGUGGAUUAAUUGAUAAACGCGAAAACCUUACCACCCUUGACAUGUCUGGAAUCCCGAAGAGAUUUGGGAGUGCCUGCAAGAGAACCGGAACAGGUGCUGUACAGCCGUCGUCAGUCGUGUCGAGAUGUUGGGUUAAGUCCUGCAACGAGCGCAACCCUUGUCAUUAGUUGCUACGAAAGGGCACUCGCAUCGAGACUGCCGUGACAAACCGGAGGAAGGUGGGGAUGACGUCAAGUCCUCAUGGCCCCGGUGGUAGGGCUUCACACGUCAUACAAUGGUCAGACAGAGGGUCGCCAACCCUGCGAGGGGGAGCCAAUCCCAGAAACCCGAUCGUAGUCCGGAUCGCAGUCGCAACUCGACUGCGUGAAGUCGGAAUCGCUAGUAAUCGCGGAUCAGCAUGUCGCGGUGAUGUCUCGGGUCUUGUACAUACCGCCCGUCACACCAUGGGAGUGGGUUUUACCAGAAGUAGUUAGCCUAACCGUAAGGGAGGGCGAUUACUACGGUAGGAUCUUAUGACUGGGGUGAAGUCGUAACAAGGCAA
Molecule: ribosomal RNA, 1448 nt
Filed under: uncultured Bordetella sp.
Lineage: Bacteria; Pseudomonadati; Pseudomonadota; Betaproteobacteria; Burkholderiales; Alcaligenaceae
Description: partial 16S-23S ribosomal RNA intergenic spacer
Rfam family: Bacterial small subunit ribosomal RNA
Source: RNAcentral